UACGAAGGGGGCUAGCGUUGCUCGGAAUCACUGGGCGUAAAGCGCACGUAGGCGGACUCUUAAGUCGGUGGUGAAAUCCUGGAGCUCAACUCCAGAACUGCCUUCGAUACUGAGAGUCUUGAGUCCGGGAGAGGUGAGUGGAACUGCGAGUGUAGAGGUGAAAUUCGUAGAUAUUCGCAAGAACACCAGUGGCGAAGGCGGCUGC
Molecule: ribosomal RNA, 205 nt
Filed under: uncultured bacterium
Lineage: Bacteria
Description: partial 16S ribosomal RNA
Rfam family: Bacterial small subunit ribosomal RNA
Source: RNAcentral